This 84-nucleotide small RNA is filed under the name Flavobacterium frigoris. Its description in RNAcentral is "Flavo-1 RNA". It matches the Rfam family "Flavo-1 RNA". Lineage: Bacteria; Pseudomonadati; Bacteroidota; Flavobacteriia; Flavobacteriales; Flavobacteriaceae. The record is from RNAcentral.
CUCUUGCCUUGCGUAAAGGAUAGGAGCGGCAUCCUUUUAUGAAGUGUAACGAAAUAAAAGAUACAGCGUAUAGCCUGACCUCGU